This 213-nucleotide ribosomal RNA is filed under the name uncultured prokaryote. RNAcentral describes it as "partial 16S ribosomal RNA". It matches the Rfam family "Bacterial small subunit ribosomal RNA", at positions 524 to 736 of the family's 1533-position model. The record is from RNAcentral.
UACGGAGGGUGCAAGCGUUAUCCGGAUUCACUGGGUUUAAAGGGUGUGUAGGCGGGUAUUUAAGUCAGUGGUGAAAUCUCUGAGCUCAACUCAGAAACUGCCAUUGAUACUAUUUAUCUUGAAUGUCGUUGAGGUUGGCGGAAUAUAUCAUGUAGCGGUGAAAUGCAUAGAUAUGAUAUAGAACACCGAUUGCGAAGGCAGCUAACUAAGCGA